Molecule: long non-coding RNA, 610 nt
Organism: Oxyura jamaicensis (ruddy duck)
Lineage: Eukaryota; Metazoa; Chordata; Aves; Anseriformes; Anatidae
Exons: 5
Source: RefSeq, a predicted model, not a curated record
GCUGCCUGCAAGAAAAUGCUGUGUAUUCAGUGGCUUCCUCAAUAAGCAGAUCAGUUAAUGAUUUGUUAUGUGAAAAAAUGUAAUAAUGCAGAGAUUGGUAAGUGUGGAAAGGCACAGCUGAGCGUGUGGUUAUAGGCAGCAGGUUGUGCUGGAGCAAAAAGGGACAGCCACCUCCUUAAAGAGGUUUCUGUGCUCCAGAUAAGACUUCAGCUUUCAGCUCAGGCUAGGAGAUCUACCCAGGUAGCAGAGUGAGCAGUCCUGCUCAGUGCCACAGCUGCUCAGCCCACAUCUGGGAAAUAAGGAGCCAGGUGGGGAAACAUUUGCUUUAUGGCUUCUGCCAGGACUCAGAUCAGGUCCAAGCACCAUCAUUGCCAAAGGCACACUUUUGGUAUGGACAGCAGUGGCAGAAGACUAAAUACAGCCUGUGAAGCACAUAACAAAAAUCAAAGUCUGAGAGCUGUUGGAAAAACUGACAGCUAUAUGCAUGCAUGAGCAGACCUGAAAGAAGCAGGAGACCUAAGAGGGGGAUGGCACAUUGCAUAACUAUCCCAUCACUUUGGGGGUAAAUGCUGUGCUGGCCACUGAGUGCCACCAAGACUGUCAGAGCUCC